GGCCGCGGUCGUCCGGGACCCGCCUCAAGCCUCGCAGGCUUUCACCCAGUUUCCUCCCGAUUCUUGCUGGGACAACAUAAUUGGGAAGCGGUUCUCGAAACAUACUCUCAAGGCGUAGUUGCAGUGAGUUGUGAAGAAAUGUUGAUCCCAGAGAAAAGUUUGCAUUUUUGCCCACCCCAAAGAUAUUUUGGUUUUUGGUCGCCCAACUCACACUGAUGCCUAAGACCCAGCUGAUUAAAGUUACUGUACCAUGGCAGGCCAACGAACAUGUCAAAGGAGGAGCAGCAGAGCUGUCCCCAGGAAAAUGCAAGAACCUCCAAAGAGCAUUGAAGAAUUCUUAAAGUUUCAAAAUUGGGAUUAUUGGCCAAGGGAAAUCCAUUUUAGAGAUGGUGAUAAAUGGUCAUGCACUCUGAAAAAAAUAAAAGAAGAUAGUUCAUUUGUUUCAAUUUAUACACACCUAUGGGAAAGUGUUCCUCGAAUAUUUGAAGCACUUUUGAUCAUGGAAUCAAAAUUAAAGGAAUAUUCACUUAUUUUGCAAAACCACACCUCUAAAAUAUUUAAGUGGAAAAGCAUGAUUUCUGAGACAAGUUCUUACAGAAAAUUGGAACGAUAUGGGGAAUUUCUAAAGAAGUACCAUAAGAAAAAAAAGAUAAUGGAAAGAGUUUUUAAAAUCUGGAAGACUCAUUUUCUCUCAGAAGCCUCCAUUGCUGUUUUGCAUGACUCCUUUUGGUGGUGGUUUCUCCAUAAAUUUAGGGUAUAGUGAUUUUUAAAAAUUUAUUUUUUAAGUUGAUUUUUGGCAUAAUUAAUUUUUCAGUAGAGAUAAGUCUAGUACAAAAAUGCUUUUCUGGAUGCAACUACAGAGAUUAGUUUUUGAGCAUUCCACACAUUAGAAAUCCUAUUUGAU
Molecule: small RNA, 904 nt
Filed under: Pongo abelii (Sumatran orangutan)
Lineage: Eukaryota; Metazoa; Chordata; Mammalia; Primates; Hominidae
Description: retained intron
Source: RNAcentral